This 497-nucleotide ribosomal RNA is filed under the name uncultured bacterium. RNAcentral describes it as "partial 16S ribosomal RNA". It matches the Rfam family "Bacterial small subunit ribosomal RNA", at positions 28 to 507 of the family's 1533-position model. The record is from RNAcentral.
GACGAACGCUGGCGGCGUGCUUAACACAUGCAAGUCGAACGGACAGGCGAUGCUCUUGUGCGGUGGACGUUAGCGGCAGACGGGUGAGUAACGCGUGGAUACCCUCCCUCUAAUACUGGGAAAAUCUCGGAAAAGCGGAGCAAAUCGGGGAGAAUCUACUGCACCGCAUGGGUCAAUAGUGAAUGACGGCUUUUCGGGCUGGUAUAGCUGGAUAUGGGCUGUAUGAGCUAGUUGGUAGGGUAACGGGUUUCGAAGGCAACGAUGCGUAGACGAGCGGAGAGAGUGGUCGGCCACACUGGAAGUGAGACAGCGUCCAGACUCCUACGGGAGGCAGCAGUCGGGAAUGGGCCGCAAUGGGCGGGAGCAUGACGGAGCAAGCCCGCGCGAGUGAUGAAGGUCUUCGGUGCGUAAAACUCUGUUUUUAGGGAAGAACCACUGUCUCAGUAGCUAUGCCCGGCUUGACGGUACCUAAUAAAGAAGCACCGGCUAACUACGUG